Molecule: small nuclear RNA, 19 nt
Filed under: Arabidopsis thaliana (thale cress)
Lineage: Eukaryota; Viridiplantae; Streptophyta; Magnoliopsida; Brassicales; Brassicaceae
Description: snRNA_00794
Source: RNAcentral
AGCCUGCCCACCCUGGAAA